Molecule: ribosomal RNA, 207 nt
Filed under: uncultured bacterium
Lineage: Bacteria
Description: partial 16S ribosomal RNA
Rfam family: Bacterial small subunit ribosomal RNA
Source: RNAcentral
CGCGUAGGUGGUUUGGUAAGCGAGAUGUGAAAGCCCCGGGCUUAACCUGGGAACGGCAUUUCGAACUGUCAGGCUAGAGUAUGGUAGAGGAGUGUGGAAUUUCCUGUGUAGCGGUGAGAUGCGUAGAUAUAGGAAGGAACGCCAGUGGCGAAGGCGGCACUCUGGACCAAUACUGACACUGAGGUGCGAAAGCGUGGGGAGCAAACA